ACUCAAAUGAAUUGACGGGGGGCCGCACAAGCGGUGGAGCGUGUGGUUUAAUUCGACGCUAAGCGAAGAACCUUACCAGGGUUUGACAUCCCAGUCGUAUUCCGUGGAAACACGGAAGUCAGUCCGGCUGGACUGGUGACAGGUGUUGCAUGGUCGUCGUCAGCUCGUGUCGUGAGAUGUUGGGUUAAGUCCCGCAACGAGCGCAACCCUCGUCGCGUGUUGUAUUUUUCACGCGAGACUGCCUCGGUUAACGAGGAGGAAGGCGGGGAUGACGUCAGAUCAGCAUGACCCUUAUACCCUGGGCGACACACGCGCUACAAUGGCCGGUCCAAUGGGACGCGAAGCCGCAAGGUGGAGCCAAUCCCAUCAACGCCGGUCUCAGUUCGGAUUGGAGGCUGCAACUCGCCUCCAUGAAGUCGGAAUCGCUAGUAAUCGCAGGUCAGCCAUACUGCGGUGAAUACGUUCUCGGCCCUUGUACACACCGCCCGU
RNAcentral lists this ribosomal RNA (489 nucleotides) under uncultured bacterium. Its description in RNAcentral is "partial 16S ribosomal RNA". It matches the Rfam family "Bacterial small subunit ribosomal RNA", at positions 899 to 1397 of the family's 1533-position model. The record is from RNAcentral.